GACGAACCGUCCUAACGUUGUUCGGAAUCACUGGGCUUAAAGGGCGCGUAGGCGGGUCACCAAGUCCGGGGUGAAAUCCUCCGGCUUAACCGGAGAAUAGCCUUGGAUACUGGUGGUCUGGAGGGUGGUAGGGGCAUGUGGAACUUCCGGUGGAGCGGUGAAAUGCGUUGAUAUCGGAAGGAACGCCGGUGGCGAAAGCGACGUGCUGGACCACUUCUGACGCUGAGGCGCGAAAGCCAGGGGAGCAAACGGG
Molecule: ribosomal RNA, 253 nt
Filed under: uncultured bacterium
Lineage: Bacteria
Description: partial 16S ribosomal RNA
Rfam family: Bacterial small subunit ribosomal RNA
Source: RNAcentral